CCUACGGGAUGCAGCAGUGAGGAAUAUUGGUCAAUGGGCGCGAGCCUGAACCAGCCAAGUAGCGUGAAGGAUGACUGCCCUACGGGUUGUAAACUUCUUUUAUAAAGGAAUAAAGUGAGGCACGUGUGCCUUUUUGUAUUUACUUUAUGAAUAAGGAUCGGCUAACUCCGUGCCAGCAGCCGCGGUAAUACGGAGGAUCCGAGCGUUAUCCGGAUUUCUUGGGAUUAAAGGGAGCGUUGAGGGGUUGUUAAGUCAGGUGUGAAAGGUUGCGGCUCAAACGUAAAAUUUCAAUUGAUACUGGCAGCCUUGAGUGCAGGUGAGGGAGGCGGAAUUCGUGGUG
RNAcentral lists this ribosomal RNA (340 nucleotides) under uncultured bacterium. RNAcentral's name for it is "partial 16S ribosomal RNA". It matches the Rfam family "Bacterial small subunit ribosomal RNA", at positions 338 to 675 of the family's 1533-position model. The record is from RNAcentral.